GUGAAACUGGAAAUCAGAACCAUAUUUACCUGAGCAAGUGCCACCAAACAGCAGUGUACCAUUUUAUCUUCUAAUCAUCUCUUUUCCUCCUUUGAACUUACCAGCUCAGACUUCAUGGAGCACAGAACCAACUUGUAUCAGUUUCCUAUUGCUGUCACAACCAACAUCCUCAAAUUUAGUAGUUUAGGCCAGGAAUUUAGUUCAGUGGUUUCACCGCCUGCUGCGCAAGCACAAGGACCCAAGUUCGAUCCCCAGUAACAAAAACAAAACAAAACAAAACAAAAUUUAGUAGUUUAACACAAUUAACAUCUAUUCUCUUACAGUUCUGGAGGUCAAAGUCAGGCCUGGGUCUCCCAAUUGAGAAUCAGUGAAUGAGCUCCUCUCUGGAGGUGCUAGGGGAUCCAUUUUCUCAUCUUUUUCCAAGGCUGCCCGUGUUUCUUAGCUCACAACCCUCUUCCAUCUUUGAAGCCAGAAAUGGUGGCUAGAAUCCUCACCUCAGAUCACUCUGACCCUGGCUUUUCUGCCUCCCUCCUCCAUUUGAGGAUCCUUGUAAUUACUUUGUGCCUACCUAGGUAAUCUAGGAUCAUCUCCCUAUUUUAAAAUCAGCUCAUGAGUAGCACUAUACCUACAACAAUCUUAACUCAUCUUGCUGAGUAACCUAACACAUCACGAGUUCUGCGAAUUAGGAAGUGGGACAGUGCUGGAAAGCUGUUACCCAACCUACCACACAACCUCUGCUCUUCUCCCACUACAUCCCAUCAGGGUCCCAACUCCUUCACAAUGCCCCCCACACACCUCAGCCUCCAGACUGCACACACUCUGUUCUCUGGUCACACCAAUCUUCUCCUCUUUUUCUAGUACCAGAUCAUAGUCCAGGCCUGGCAAAGAGCAGGCACUCAGAGAGUACUCCUGGAACUGGAUGAAGCAGAGAAAGGCUUCCCCAAGGUGCCCUCAGAUCUAGUUCAAAUGAUCAUACCAAACCACCUCAACAAUCCACAGCUUAGUUUGCUGCACAGUUUACUGUCAUGUAGAAGAAUCUCUGUACCACGAGUGACACGCAGCACUAUACUGUAUUGCUACCCUGUGAGGCAAUUCUAGAAUAACUGACAAAAUUAACCUCAAGGAAAAUAAAGGAUUUAUCUAGGAUGAUUUACAGACUUCAAAAUUAAACGAAAGAGAAUGCAUGGCAACCACCAACAGCCCACCACACACACUCAGCCCC
This 1222-nucleotide long non-coding RNA is filed under the name Heterocephalus glaber (naked mole-rat). RNAcentral's name for it is "lncRNA (ENSHGLG00100047392.1)". Lineage: Eukaryota; Metazoa; Chordata; Mammalia; Rodentia; Bathyergidae. The record is from RNAcentral.